Molecule: transfer RNA, 61 nt
Filed under: Pyrocoelia pygidialis
Lineage: Eukaryota; Metazoa; Arthropoda; Insecta; Coleoptera; Lampyridae
Description: tRNA-Cys
Source: RNAcentral
GAUUUUGUAUUCAAUUAUGAUUUUAAAUUGCAAAUUUAAAGGUGAUAAAUAUCUAAAAUCU